This 206-nucleotide ribosomal RNA is filed under the name uncultured Geobacter sp. Its description in RNAcentral is "partial 16S ribosomal RNA". It matches the Rfam family "Bacterial small subunit ribosomal RNA", at positions 102 to 293 of the family's 1533-position model. The record is from RNAcentral. Lineage: Bacteria; Pseudomonadati; Thermodesulfobacteriota; Desulfuromonadia; Geobacterales; Geobacteraceae.
CACGGGUGAGUAACGCGUGGAUAAUCUGCCCUGUGAUCUGGGAUAACACUUCGAAAGGGGUGCUAAUACCGGAUAAGACCACGGAGUCUUAGGACUCUGCGGUAAAAGGUGGGGACCUUCGGGCCUACCGUCAUCGGAUGAGUCCGCGUACCAUUAGCUAGUUGGUAGGGUAAGAGCCUACCAAGGCGACGAUGGUUAGCUGGUCU